AUUUAAAUAGUUUAAAAUAAAACAUUAAUUUUGUAAAUUAAUAAUAAGAAAAUUUCUUUUUAAAUA
RNAcentral lists this transfer RNA (66 nucleotides) under Conwentzia sinica. RNAcentral describes it as "tRNA-Thr". The record is from RNAcentral. Lineage: Eukaryota; Metazoa; Arthropoda; Insecta; Neuroptera; Coniopterygidae.